CCCUUAGAUGUUCUGGGCCGCACGCGCGCUACACUGACGAAGUCAGCGAGCAUCUCCUUCGCCGAAAGGUGCGGGGAAUCUUGUGAAACUUUGUCGUGCUGGGGAUUGAUUUUUGAAAUUCUUGAUCAUCAACGAGGAAUUCCUAGUAAGCGCAAGUCAGCAGCUUGCGUUGAAUACGUCCCUGCCCUUUGUACACACCGCCCGUCGCUCCUACCGAUUGAGUGGUCCGGUGAGGCUUUGGGAUCUGAGCGGAAAGAGCGUUUCGCUGUUUCUGCUCGGAAAACUCAGUCGAACCUUAUCAUUUAGAGGAAGGAGAAGUCGUAACA
This 326-nucleotide ribosomal RNA is filed under the name uncultured eukaryote. RNAcentral describes it as "partial 18S ribosomal RNA". It matches the Rfam family "Eukaryotic small subunit ribosomal RNA", at positions 1470 to 1796 of the family's 1831-position model. The record is from RNAcentral.